This 346-nucleotide ribosomal RNA is filed under the name uncultured Glomeromycotina. RNAcentral describes it as "eukaryotic LSU rRNA". Lineage: Eukaryota; Fungi; Glomeromycota. The record is from RNAcentral.
CCACCUUUCUGAGCUUCGGUCUUCGUGGGUUUUGAAGAAGUUUCAAAGCCUUCGGAUUUCGCGAGAUUGGGAUCUCUCGGUGUACUUUCUCGUACGGUUAGUCAACAUCGGUUUUGAAUGUCAUAAAAUGACUGGAGGAAUGUAGCUUCGAUCUCGUAUUGAAGUGUUAUAGCCUUUGGUAGAUGUGAUGUUUGAGACCGAGGAUUGCAACGGAUACCCUUCAGGGCUAUUCGUCUGAUCUCUGAUACGUUGCCCUGAUGUUGAAAGCUUGCUUAUGAUGUUAGGGUAUUACGGUCAAAAGGUUAGAACUCAUUAGAUUCGUUAAGGAUGUUGACGUAAUGACUUU